Molecule: unclassified non-coding RNA, 775 nt
Filed under: Hevea brasiliensis (rubber tree)
Lineage: Eukaryota; Viridiplantae; Streptophyta; Magnoliopsida; Malpighiales; Euphorbiaceae
Source: RNAcentral
AGAGAGAGAGAGAGAGAGAAUGGGGGUGAGGGGAUGAUGGAGGUUGCUGAAAAUUUAAAAGGAAAUUAACUUCUCAAAUGUAAUAUAGGAAAAAUCCUAAGUUUAACUGAUUUGCCACUUUCAAGCAAUAAAAUAAUGAAGGACUAUGCAUCCCAAAUGGUACUUCAAAACUUGACAUCACAUGAACUUCAGAAGAGCAUAUGUUAAAAACCAACAAAAUGAAAACUUGGAAAACUAAUUGCUUGUCGCUAUAAACUUAUAUACAACUGCAUCAAUGGCAAUAUGUCAAAGCAAACAAAAAGAAUAACUGGCUAGAGGAUGUGUGCGAUCGUCAACUCAGACUCAAGGUCCAAAAGAAUGUUUCCCAGCUUGCAAGAAGUUUAUAAAUAAUAACCUUAUCAACUGCAUAAAGGAUGGAGUUUGAAGCAAAAAAGAACAGCUGGGACACUGGAAACAUAAUAUAUGGUUGAUCCAAAAACACAUUUAAGCACAAAGUUUAUCAAUUUAAACAACUAUUUGUCAGUAAUACACACAAUCUUACUGUUCUUCCCAAUGCACGUUUUCUAAGAAUUUGCUCCAAUUAGUAAUUUUUAAAGAUAUCAUCUAAUUCAAAUAGGACAAUUUCAUAAUCAUUUCAAGAAAUACUAGUUCUUAUUCAAAAGUAAAGCUAAGGUUUUGUUUAAAAUAGUUGAAUGAAUAACAAAAUUUCAAGGCAUUCAAUUAGAAAGUGCAACAACAUAUAGAAAAUCAAUUAUAUGGUAUAGGUUGAUCAUUU